RNAcentral lists this unclassified non-coding RNA (575 nucleotides) under Microbotryomycetes sp. MK1-2020. RNAcentral describes it as "sequence contains 18S rRNA gene, ITS1, 5.8S rRNA gene, ITS2, 28S rRNA gene". The stretch from base 182 to 335 matches the Rfam family "5.8S ribosomal RNA". Lineage: Eukaryota; Fungi; Basidiomycota; Microbotryomycetes. The record is from RNAcentral.
CGUAACAAGGUUUCCGUAGGUGAACCUGCGGAAGGAUCAUUAGUGAAUUUUGAGUGUCUCUUCCACAGAGAGCUCGUCUUCCACUUUUAAACCCUCACUCGUCUUGCUGUUCAAGGCAGACGUUUGAACUUUUUUUAAACGCAAGUAUAAUGAAUGUAACACAAAGUUUAUAACAAAUUAAAACUUUCAACAACGGAUCUCUUGGCUCUCACAUCGAUGAAGAACGCAGCGAAAUGUGAUAAGUAAUGUGAAUUGCAGAAUUCAGUGAAUCAUCGAAUCUUUGAACGCACCUUGCGCUCCCUGGUAUUCCGGGGAGCAUGUCUGUUUGAGUGUUAUGAAACCUUCAACCCACCUGUUUCUUAAUUGAACGUGUUUGUGGUGUUUGGAUCAUGAGCGUCUGCCGGCCGAAAGGUCAGCUCGCUUGGAAUACAUGAGCAGUGUUGUCUUUGGACAUCUGGCUUGACUUGGCGUGAUAGAAUAUUUCGCUGAGGACAACACUUCGUGUGUUGGCCGAUACCUUUGACGAGGGCUCCCAAUGGAUUUCCUUUGAAAUCAUUCAUACUUUGACCUCAAUC